This 1441-nucleotide long non-coding RNA is filed under the name Calidris pugnax (ruff). RNAcentral's name for it is "lncRNA (ENSCPUG00000000092.1)". Lineage: Eukaryota; Metazoa; Chordata; Aves; Charadriiformes; Scolopacidae. The record is from RNAcentral.
NNNNNNNNNNNNNNNNNNNNNNNNNNNNNNNNNNNNNNNNNNNNNNNNNNNNNNCCUCUUCCGCUCACUUGCCCCCCCCAAGCCCUUGCCCCCCCUUGCCCCCACCCCAAGCCUUGCACACUCGUUGCACACUCGUUGCACACUCAUCGCACGCACACACCCCCCACGUGCAAAGCUGCCACGAGGCCUUGCACACUCGUUGCGACUCCAACCCUUGCACACUCAUUGCACCCCCCCAAGCCAGGCCUUGCACACUCAUUGCACCACCCAAGCCUUGCACACUCAUUGUGCCACCCAACCCUUGCACACCCAUUGCACCCCCCAACCUCUACACGCUCGUUGUACCCCCAAGCCUUGCACACUCACUGUGCCCACCUGGGGCCUUGCACACUCAUUGCACCACCCUACCCUUGCACACUGAUUGCACUCCCCCAAGCCUUGCACACUUGUGCCACCCAACCCUUGCACACUUGUUGCAUCCACCAGAGGUCUUGCACACUCGUUGCACCCCCCCAGGCCUUGCACACUCAUUGCACCACCCAAGCCUUGCACACUCAUUGUGCCACCCAACCCUUGCACACCCAUUGCACCCCCCAACCUCUACACGCUCGUUGUACCCCCAAGCCUUGCACACUCACUGUGCCCACCUGGGGCCUUGCACACUCAUUGCACCACCCUACCCUUGCACACUGAUUGCACUCCCCCAAGCCUUGCACACUUGUGCCACCCAACCCUUGCACACUUGUUGCAUCCACCAGAGGUCUUGCACACUCGUUGCACCCCCCCAGGCCUUGCACACUCAUUGCACCACCCAAGCCUUGCACACUCAUUGUGCCCCCCAAGCCUUGCACACCCCAACCCUUGCACAUUCAUUGUGCCCACCUGAAGCCUUGCACACUCAUUGUACCCCCCCAACCUUUGCACACUCAUUGCACCUCCAAACCUUUGCACACUCGUUGAACCACCCCUACCCUUGCACACUCAUUAUACCCACCUGAAGCCUUUCACACUCGUUGCACGACCAAACCCUUUCACACUCGUUGCGCCACCCAAGCCUUGCACACUCAUUGCACCACCCAAGCCUUGCACGCUCGUUGCACCCUCAAGCCUUGCACACUCAUUGUGCCCACCUGAGGCCUUGCACACUCAUUACACUCCCCAGCCUCUACACACUCAUUGCACCACCCAACCCUUGCACACUUGUUGUGACCCCAACCCUUUCACACUCAUUGAACCCCCCAACCCUUGCACACUCAUUGCACCCUCCUGAGGCCUUGCACACUCAUUGCACCAUCCAACCUCUACACACUCAUUGCACCACCCAACCCUUGCACACUUGUUGCACCAUCAAACCCUUGCACACUCAUUGUGCCCACCUGAGGCCUUGCACACUCAUUGCACCCUUAACCCUUGCACACUCGUUGCACCCACAUGAAGCCUU